GGCCAGACUCAUACGGGAGGCAGCAGUGGGGGAUAUUGCACAAUGGGGGGAACCCUGAUGCAGCGACGCCGCGUGGGUGAAGGAGUGCUUCGGCAUGUAAAGCCCUAUCGGCAGGGAAGAAGCAAGACGGUACCUGACUAAGAAGCCCCGGCUAACUACGUGCCAGCAGCCGCGGGAAUACGUAGGGGGCAAGCGUUAUCCGGAUUUACUGGGGGUAAAGGGGGCGCAGACGGCGAUGCAAGCCAGGAGUGAAAGCCCGGGGCCCAACCCCGGGACUGCUCUUGGAACUGCGUGGCUGGAGUGCAGGAGGGGCAGGCGGAAUUCCUGGUGUAGCGGUGAAAUGCGUAGAUAUCAGGAGGAACACCGGUGGCGAAGGCGGCCUGCUGGACUGCAACUGACGUUGAGGCCCGAAAGCGUGGGGAGCAAACAGGAUUAGAUACCCCCGUA
RNAcentral lists this ribosomal RNA (447 nucleotides) under uncultured bacterium. RNAcentral's name for it is "bacterial SSU rRNA". It matches the Rfam family "Bacterial small subunit ribosomal RNA", at positions 329 to 792 of the family's 1533-position model. The record is from RNAcentral.